UAGCUCAGUCAGUAGAGCGUAGCACUAACAACGCUAAGGUUGCGGGUUCGAUUCUCGU
This 58-nucleotide transfer RNA is filed under the name Apaloderma vittatum (bar-tailed trogon). It matches the Rfam family "tRNA", at positions 8 to 63 of the family's 71-position model. Rfam says of the family: Transfer RNA (tRNA) molecules are approximately 80 nucleotides in length. The record is from Rfam by way of RNAcentral. Lineage: Eukaryota; Metazoa; Chordata; Aves; Trogoniformes; Trogonidae.